Triticum aestivum (bread wheat) is the source of this 134-nucleotide non-coding RNA. NCBI's taxonomy places the organism in Eukaryota, Viridiplantae, Streptophyta, Magnoliopsida, Poales, Poaceae. The record is from Rfam.
CUAGUACUCCCUCCGUCCGGAAAUAUUUGUCAUCAAAAUGGUAAAAGAAAAUGUAUCUAGACGUAUUUUAGUUCUAGAUACGUCUUUUUUUAUCCAUUUCGAUGACAAGUAUUUUCGGACGGAGAGAGUAUUAU